Molecule: ribosomal RNA, 263 nt
Filed under: uncultured Staphylococcus sp.
Lineage: Bacteria; Bacillati; Bacillota; Bacilli; Caryophanales; Staphylococcaceae
Description: partial 16S ribosomal RNA
Rfam family: Bacterial small subunit ribosomal RNA
Source: RNAcentral
CGGACGGGUGAGUAACACGUGGAUAACCUACCUAUAAGACUGGGAUAACUUCGGGAAACCGGAGCUAAUACCGGAUAAUAUAUUGAACCGCAUGGUUCAAUAGUGAAAGACGGUUUUGCUGUCACUUAUAGAUGGAUCCGCGCCGCAUUAGCUAGUUGGCAAGGUAACGGCUUACCAAGGCAACGAUGCGUAGCCGACCUGAGAGGGUGAUCGGCCACACUGGAACUGAGACACGGUCCAGACUCCUACGGGAGGCAGCAGUU